CCUACGGGGUGCAGCAGUGAGGAAUAUUGGUCAAUGGGCGUACGCCUGAACCAGCCAAGCCGCGUGAGGGAAGACUGCCCUAUGGGUUGUAAACCUCUUUUGUCAGGGAGCAAUUGGCGCUACGUGUAGCGUUAUCGAGAGUACCUGAAGAAAAAGCCUCGGCUAACUCCGUGCCAGCAGCGGCGGUAAUAGGGAGGAUGCGAGCGUGAUCCGGAUUUAUUGGGUUAAAGGGGUGCGAAGGGGGAAUGCCAAGUCAGCGGGAAAAUCGCGGGGCUCAACCUCGCUCCGCCGUUGAAACUGGCGGUCUUGAGUGGGCGAGAAGUAUGCGGAAUGCGUGGUGUAGCGGUGAAAUGCAUAGAUAUCACGCAGAACUCCGAUUGCGAAGGCAGCAUACCGGAGCCCAACUGACGCUGAAGCACGAAAGCGUGGGUAUCGAACAGGAUUAGAUACCCUUGUAGUC
This 460-nucleotide ribosomal RNA is filed under the name uncultured bacterium. RNAcentral's name for it is "partial 16S ribosomal RNA". It matches the Rfam family "Bacterial small subunit ribosomal RNA", at positions 338 to 795 of the family's 1533-position model. The record is from RNAcentral.